UACGUAGGGGGCUAGCGUUGUCCGGAAUCAUUGGGCGUAAAGCGCGUGUAGGCGGUUCGGUAAGUCUGCUGUGAAAGUCGGGGGCUCAACCCUCGAAUGCCGGUGGAUACUGUCGGACUAGAGUGCGGAAGAGGCGAGUGGAAUUCCUGGUGUAGCGGUGAAAUGCGCAGAUAUCAGGAGGAACACCAAUUGCGAAGGCAGCUCGCUGGGACGUUACUGACGCUGAGACGCGAAAGCGUGGGGAGCAAACAGG
This 253-nucleotide ribosomal RNA is filed under the name uncultured bacterium. Its description in RNAcentral is "partial 16S ribosomal RNA". It matches the Rfam family "Bacterial small subunit ribosomal RNA", at positions 524 to 776 of the family's 1533-position model. The record is from RNAcentral.